RNAcentral lists this long non-coding RNA (1081 nucleotides) under Sparus aurata (gilthead seabream). RNAcentral describes it as "lncRNA (ENSSAUG00010011748.1)". The record is from RNAcentral. Lineage: Eukaryota; Metazoa; Chordata; Actinopteri; Spariformes; Sparidae.
AAUUUAUAUUGUUAGUGCUGCUAAUCAGUUAGCUCGUUAAUGCUUAUUAGUUGCUAAUAGUAAGAACUCUCCUACAUGUGCUUGUAUUAUUGUUGUAUAUUGGCUGUUGUGAAUUAAGCUGAAUGAUUCAUUUCUAUUUCUAUGGGUUGUUUACCAUUCCUGGUACUGUAAGUGGAACCAUGUACCUGCUGUUCUGAUAACUGCUUUUUAUUCUCUGUUACAGAACCACACAACUUUCAUAUACCUUCCACACACACAUACUCAUCUGUCACACUCACACCAUCAACCAUUCCUAAUCAGCAAUUGAGAAACUAAAAGGAACUCAAACUAAAAGGACUAAAUGGAACUAAUUUUAACCCAGCGGCCAUAAGUGAUUCAGUCCAGUAUACAGUCCUUAGAAUAAAUCUCCACAACACAUACGUAACAUGUCUUACAACGAGAGGAGGCCACCAGAUAACACAGUCACCAGUUAAACCCACUGGGGGAUCAUGACAUUGUGGGAAGACUAGCUAUCAGACUGCACAUCAAUUCUGAAUCACGUAAGCAGUAUCUAUGUGAUCUUUAAACCCAAAUCAUGAUUGUGAACUUUAAACAUUAUAGUUUAACAACAGAUCCACUCAGACACAUGUCACACUGGUGAAAAGCACCCGUAGAACUGAGUUUUGAGAGCUUAAAAAAAUAGUGUUGCCUGUAACGUUGUGUCUGGUUUUCACCAUUUUAUAGACCUACACUAAGCUUGUCCUUUUUAAUUUCAGGUGUAUUGUUGAUACAGGGCUAAACCAGGGUUUGACAAGAGUUGCCAGUGUCUGAUUCUACACCCAAACACAGCAGAGUGGUCGGGGCCUGCAGACCGACCCAGUUACACCUGCAGCGAGCAGACAGAGGAAGAGGAGUGUGAGAUCCACGGGGAAAGGAGCAGGAGAAAGAGAACGACAGCUGUCGCCAGCAGACAGGCAUUGACUGUCGGACUAAUUGAAAUAGGCCGGCGCCCAAGGAUGGUGUGACAGCAGUGGUGCCAAUGACGAGAGUGAUGUUGGCCCGAGAUGACAGUGAACAGUUGACACACUGCCCCAUCGUGUGA